AGUGAACGCUGGCGGUAGGCCUAAUACAUGCAAGUCGAACGGCAGCACAGUAAGAGCUUGCUCUUACGGGUGGCGAGUGGCGGACGGGUGAGGAAUACAUCGGAAUCUACUUUUUCGUGGGGGAUAACGUAGGGAAACUUACGCUAAUACCGCAUACGACCUACGGGUGAAAGCAGGGGAUCUUCGGACCUUGCGCGAUUGAAUGAGCCGAUGUCGGAUUAGCUAGUUGGCGGGGUAAAGGCCCACCAAGGCGACGAUCCGUAGCUGGUCUGAGAGGAUGAUCAGCCACACUGGAACUGAGACACGGUCCAGACUCCUACGGGAGGCAGCAGUGGGGAAUAUUGGACAAAGGGCGCAAGCCUGAUCCAGCCAUACCGCGUGGGUGAAGAAGGCCUUCGGGUUGUAAAGCCCUUUUGUUGGGAAAGAAAAGCAGCAGGUUAAUACCCCGCUGUUCUGACGGUACCCAAAGAAUAAGCACCGGCUAACUUCGUG
Molecule: ribosomal RNA, 492 nt
Filed under: uncultured bacterium
Lineage: Bacteria
Description: partial 16S ribosomal RNA
Rfam family: Bacterial small subunit ribosomal RNA
Source: RNAcentral